AACUACUAGGGGAGCCUAAUUAAUUGGCUGAGAUGAAGAUUCAGACCCUUAUGACCUGAUUUGGUUAGUACCAACGUAGGAAAGUAGUCA
RNAcentral lists this non-coding RNA (90 nucleotides) under Staphylococcus argenteus. RNAcentral describes it as "TPP riboswitch (THI element)". It matches the Rfam family "TPP riboswitch aptamer (THI element)", at positions 6 to 94 of the family's 105-position model. Rfam says of the family: Vitamin B(1) in its active form thiamin pyrophosphate (TPP) is an essential coenzyme that is synthesised by coupling of pyrimidine and thiazole moieties in bacteria. The previously detected thiamin-regulatory element, thi box was extended, resulting in a new, highly conserved RNA secondary structure, the THI element, which is widely distributed in eubacteria and also occurs in some archaea. The record is from RNAcentral. Lineage: Bacteria; Bacillati; Bacillota; Bacilli; Caryophanales; Staphylococcaceae.